This 64-nucleotide transfer RNA is filed under the name Aleurodicus dispersus. RNAcentral's name for it is "tRNA-Ser". The record is from RNAcentral. Lineage: Eukaryota; Metazoa; Arthropoda; Insecta; Hemiptera; Aleyrodidae.
AAAUUAAACUAAUAAUUUAUAUUUUGAAAAUAUAAUUUAGAUUUUUAAAUAAUCUUUAGUUUUA